GCGAAAUACGAUACGGGACUCAUCCGAGGCCCCGUAAUCGGAAUGAGUACACUCUAAACCCUUUAACGAGGAUCAAUUGGAGGGCAAGUCUGGUGCCAGCAGCCGCGGUAAUUCCAGCUCCAAUAGCGUAUAUUAAAGUUGUUGCGGUUAAAAAGCUCGUAGUCGAAUUUGUGUCACGCGCCGCCGGUUCAUCGCUCGCGGUGUUAACUGGCGCGCUUGCGGGACGUCCUGCCGGUGGGCUUAGCCUUUCGGGGCGGCCCAAUCUCAAUCCCACCGCGGUGCUCUUCACUGAGUGUCGAGGUGGGCCGGCACGUUUACUUUGAACAAAUUAGAGUGCUUAAAGCAGGCUAAAACUUCGCCUGAAUACUGUGUGCAUGGAAUAAUGGAAUAGGACCUCGGUUCUAUUUUGUUGGUUUUCGGAACCCCGAGGUAAUGAUUAAUAGGAACGGAUGGGGGCAUUCGUAUUGCGACGUUAGAGGUGAAAUUCUUGGAUCGUCGCAAGACGGACAGAAGCGAAAGCAUUUGCCAAAAACGUUUUCAUUGAUCAAGAACGAAAGUUAGAGGUUCGAAGGCGAUCAGAUACCGCCCUAGUUCUAACCAUAAACGAUGCCAGCUAGCGAUCCGCCGACGUUCCUCCGAUGACUCGGCGGGCAGCUUCCGGGAAACCAAAGCUUUUGGGUUCCGGGGGAAGUAUGGUUGCAAAGCUGAAACUUAAAGGAAUUGACGGAAGGGCACCACCAGGAGUGGAGCCUGCGGCUUAA
Molecule: ribosomal RNA, 761 nt
Filed under: Acrossidius tasmaniae
Lineage: Eukaryota; Metazoa; Arthropoda; Insecta; Coleoptera; Scarabaeidae
Description: SSU rRNA
Rfam family: Eukaryotic small subunit ribosomal RNA
Source: RNAcentral